This is a long non-coding RNA of Mauremys reevesii (Reeves's turtle), 3626 nucleotides long. RefSeq lists it as uncharacterized. NCBI's taxonomy places the organism in Eukaryota, Metazoa, Chordata, Testudines, Geoemydidae. The record is from RefSeq and is a predicted model, not a curated record. The transcript is spliced from 5 exons.
AAACAGCUUCAGCCCUAUAGUGGCUGUGUAGUGGUGGGUUGCUGGAGCUCUCUUCCAGCUGAGUUACUCUGGAGAGCAAUAUACAUCCCACAUCAAGCCCUCACCAGACUUCCUGUGCUGCCGCUCUGACCUAAGAAAUAAAGGCCAAUGCCUUGCCCAGCUAACAGCGCCGACAAAGGCAGUCCCUCGUUAUCUGCCCUGGUGGGGAUGAAUCCCUGGAAACUCUGCCAGGUAGCCCUGGCUGGAUUUGCAAUUAGGCAAAAUGCGACUCGCUCAUCUCUGUUUAAGACCUAACCAACCCACCCAUCUCCGGUAGCAAUGGUAUUGUCCAUUGUCAUUCAAGGUCACAAAGCUACAGUCACGGCACACUUGAUGCUUCUGCAAGAAGGAUACAAGAGUGGGGCUGUCUUCUGCUCCACUGAAGCCAACAGCAAAAACUAAUGGGGCCCUCAAAGGCCCAACUGCUGGGAGUAGUGCUGAGUGGUGAGCAAACCUUCAGGGGUUGUCUGAUCAGCUGAACCUGCGGAAUCUUCUCAGAAGCUCCUUUGUGCUCAGCUUACACAAGGCCCUGUGGUGGGGAAAUUUCUUGAGGUCAGGCUUAAAGUGUCCCUGGUUUCCCACAGAGCUGUGAGCUGUGCAAGGACAGCCCGUCUUAUGGAAUUUCAAUGCACCAGCUUCUGACAGUGGAAUUCCCCUCCCCCACCCAGGCAUUCACCAGACCAGAGCCAUCAAAAGUUAAAUAUUUUCACGCCUCCGAGAUUCAGAAUAACUGCACUGGGUCAAAUGUUGGUCCCUACCUACUGAGGGGUAUAAGUCAUGAAAGAUGGUGGAAGUUGUACAGUGCCAGCAUACAGCAAGAAGAUCAGACUGUGGAAUGGCCAUGCAAAGGGAAGUAUUGCCUGCCACACCCAUUCAGAACAUCACUAUGGUUCAAAACAUCAUGACUGGCUUAAAAAUGAGAUUUUAAAAAAAGUUAAAAUUGGGAUGAAUUUAGUUUCUUCUUUGGUUCUGACGCUUGCCCUCAGCUAUGGUUUUCUCUGCAGUCCUGAGAGUUAAAAAUGGAAGCUGAGAUUCUCACAUAAUCACAUGACUCGAAGUGCUGGGGCUUUAAGAAAAUGGCAAAAAUGGUGAGACUUGGCAACACUGGACAAAAAAGCACCCAUCUAUCUUAUGUAUUUAGUUGGUUCUCAUCAUUGUGAUAUACGUUGAUCUUCUCACAAGUGUUUAAUGCACAGAGCCUCACAACCCCUCUGUGAGUUAAGGAAAUUCUAUUCUCCCCCAGUGUAUAGUUAAGUGAUUUGCCUAGGGUCUCACAGGAGGUCUGGAGUACAGCAAGGGAUUGAACCCACAUCUCCCAGAUCCGAGGCAUCUGGCCUAACUACUGGAUCAUCCUUCCUCCUGUAGCCAUUGUUGACUCUCUCCAAGGACCUGCUGAUAGGGCUUGUGUGGGAGGGCAGGGGCACAACUAGUGGAUCUAUUAAAUCCAUUAGCUCAGAUGAUGAAUGAGGGCAUCUGCUCCUACUACAUCCAGUGGGUAGACUCCCGUGUCAUCAUCAUACAAGGUUUUUCCAAGUCCUGUACUGGACUAUGGGAAGGAACUGGGUUGGCUACACUGUAACAUAGACCACAAUUGCAGCACAGAGCCUCUGCGUGAAUGUUGAAGUUGCUGCUUCUGGGGCAGGAGAGAAGAUUCCAUCUUCUGAGCCACUGUGCAAGGCCUAUUUUCUUGGAUGUGAAGAAAGAAUCCUCAUUCCCUCCUCUCCAACUCAGAUUCACUGUCACAAAAAUUGCAGUUUGCAAAUUGCACCUCCAUUGAAACAAUCUGAGGCUUUCACUCUUCUUUACUGUAAAUGCAAUUUGACUUAGUCCAAAUUUGCUCUAAGUGGGUUCUGCACAGAGCCAGCUAAAAACCAAGGAGGUCUAUUCCCUUGGCAGCGGUAGAAAUUGACUGGUGCCCAUUCAUUACUGGAGGUAGCUGACAGAACGUCAAGAGUGGACAGGAAAAAAACAUUUAGCCAAGGCAUCUGCUGGUUGCGUGCAGCCGCUGCAGGCAGGAACUGCUUCCUCUGUUUCCAGGCUUUUUGGGGAAAGUGGAGCUAAAUUAGAACGAAGUGAAAAAAUGUUGCUGUGAACAACAGAAUGCAUUUAGCUGCUUUAAAAAAACAAAACCAACAACACAAAACCUUGGAGUGAUUUACAUGGGAAAGGGGAGGCGGAAAGGAUAUUUUAGAGGCUGUUUUCCAAAACUGAUGACUAACAGAAGAUACAAUGGUUAAAGCAAAUGGUCUAAAUUUCCUGGCCUUUUAAACAGCUGAAUAGAUACUGACAACAAGGGUACCCUGUUUUUCUCCUUGCAUAGCCACUAGAAAAAAUUCUUCUUGUUGUUUUUUUUAAGUGCUUGGUGCUGUACAAGACAAAAAAGACUGCCUCAAAGAGCUUGCAAUGUAAGGGCCCUACCUUGGAAUCAGAUCCUUAAAGAAACAUGGAGUCCCAGUGAAGUCAAUGGGCCUCUAUGUGGUUGUGCCCCCAACAAGACAGAUGUAGAGAAGGCAGGAAUCAGUGGGAAUUGUGGCAGUGGGGAACAAGUCAGACAACUUUAAAUACAUUGUUUUAUUAAUCUUGACUCAUUUCUUGUGGAGGCAUUUGAAAAUUUGUCAGUCUUUCUACUUUCUGCAGUGUCUUUGGGUUACUUAGACUUAGUAGGGUUGCCAACUUUGGUUGGACAUAUUCCUGGAAGUUCUGUCACAUAACAUAAUCUUUAAUCAUUAAUAGAGAAGGCAGGAAUCAGUGGGAAUUGUGGUGGUGGGGAACAAGUCAGACAACUUUAAAUACAUUGUUUUAUUAAUCUUGACUCAUUUCUUGUGGAGGCAUUUGAAAAUUUGUCAGUCUUUCUACUUUCUGCAGUGUCUUUGGGUUACUUAGACUUCGUACGGUUGCCAACUUUGGUUCGACAUAUUCCUGGAAGUUCUGUCACAUAACGUAAUCUUUAAUCAUCAAUUCCUGGAGACUUCUGGACAAUCCUGGAGGGUCAGUAAUGCUAAGACUUAGGCAUCUAAGUCCAGCAUUGAGGCACCACUCAGCUGCUGCCUAACCGUGGAGGCUCCUAAGUUUCCACUGGUGGACAUCAGCGAAGCCACCUGCAUCCUGACGCUGCUGCGCUGCUUGGCACCCAAGCUCAUGCCUAAGUCCUGGCAGGAUUCUUACCCUAGGUGGACCCCCCACCUGUGAGCCGAUGGAGAGAAUUUUUAGAAGGAAAAACCCGCUGGUCUGACAGUCCCUUAGAUGAUAUCAAAGAUGGUAAUAACUGUUCUGCUGGGGAGAAGAGAAGAAGUUAGUUGAGAUGUCAGGGCUCUGAGAAGCACUUUCCUCUUGGAGGCUUGUUCCGGCACAAGGGAAGAAAGGACUAAGGUAGCUUUAACUGAUUAUCACCCAGCGUGAUGCAUCUGCGAAUGGACCAGAGAUUCUGCUGGGACAUCACAAAGAGAAAAAUGUGACUAUUUAUUGCUUCUCAGUGUCAGUUAAUUUAAAACAGAAAAGUACCCUAGGCACGCAAUAGGCCUCAUAUGGACAAACCUUGAGGCCAUGCAGAGCCCCAUUGAAAUCAGAGACCAUUUAGAUAUGUAAAG